UCUCGGGUCAGCCAACACUGUCCGAUGCUCGGCCGAGCCCAGGGAAUGUGUAGAAGAGGGAGCAGGACACAAAAGCCAUGAGAAUCCACUGUGUUCCCAGCACAGGAUGCUAACCCAGGCUGUCGUCUUGCUAGGUCCCAGAUCAGCCCUCUUGGUGGGGAUGUUCUCCCAGUUGAUAAGCAGGAAAUGGAUCCUGGGGAGAACUGAAGUCACCUGACCCAGGUCCUGUGUGGGGGAAUGGUGGCCUGAGGUACCUUGCUUCACACCGAUGCAUAGGCCUUCCUCACAGCCCGUCUGACACAAUGUCCUGAAGAACGUGUCUGUGGAGGAAAUGACCUCCAGGCCCACCUCAGGUGUAUGCCCCAGUGACACAGGAGCAGAGCCUGUCUGAAACCUUUGUUUCUCCCAAGAUUGCCACGUUGAAGCUCCGAGCCCUACUUCUCAGAUUGUGACCUUUGGAGAUGGGGUCUUAGGGAGGCUAUCAAGUUAAAAUGAGGUUUUAAGGUGGGCACUGGUCCAAUCCAGCUCCAUCCUUUGGAAGCAGGGAUUUGGAAUAGCACAAACCCAGGAUGUCACAGGAUGGUGGCGGGACACACACACAAACACACACACACACACACACACACACACACUACACACACACAAAAUCACACACUACAUACACACACCACACACACACUACACACACACAAAAUCACACACUACACACACACACCACACACACACACUACACACACACAAAAUCACACACUACAUACACACACCACACACACACACUACACACACACAAAAUCACACACUACACACACUAAACACACACAAGAUCACACACUACACACACACCACACACACACACUACACACACACAAAAUCACACACUACAUACACACACCACACACACACACUACACACACACAAAAUCACACACUACACACACUAAACACACACAAGAUCACACACUACACACACACCACACACACACACUACACACACACAAAAUCACACACUACAUACACACACCAACACACACACACUACACACACACAAAAUCACACACUACACACACUAAACACACACAAGAUCACACACUACACACACACCACACACACACACUACACACACACAAAAUCACACACUACAUACACACACCACACACACACUACACACACACAAAAUCACACACUACACACACACCACACACACACACUACACACACACAAAAUCACACACUACACACACUAAACACACACAAGAUCACACACUACACACACACCACACACACACACUACACACACACAAAAUCACACACUACACACACAUACCACACACACACACUACACACACACAAAAUCACACACUACACACACAUACCACACACACACACACACUACACACACACAAAAUCACACACUACACACACACACCAACACACACACACUACACACACACAAAAUCACACACUACACACACACACCACACACACACACUACACACACACAAAAUCACACACUACACACACUAAACACACACAAGAUCACACACUACACACACACCACACACACACACUACACACACACAAAAUCACACACUACACACACAUACCACACACACACACACACUACACACACACAAAAUCACACACUACACACACACACCAACACACACACACUACACACACACACAAAAUCACACACUACACACACACACCACACACACACUACACACACACAAAAUCACACACUACACACACUAAACACACACAAGAUCACACACUACACACACACCACACACACACACUACACACACACAAAAUCACACACUACACACACAUACCACACACACACACACACACACACACACACACACACACACCACACUCACUCUGGCCUGCGUCUAAUGUGGUCACUAGUAGAUUAUUUUUUUUUUCUUCCUGACUCAUGCUCCCACCCUGAUAUCUCACCUCUUAGGGCCUGUGUCCAGGAAUCCAAACAAGAGCCCAGGCAAGGAUACCAAAGAAACUGUCCCAGCCUCUAUACCAAGCAUGAGAAAGAGGACAAGAUGGCCGCCGACUGGUCCCUGGUGUCAUCAGCAUCUCAAUAAAAAGGGCUCAGGGGCACCCACAAGCAUGUAGUGUGGUAAGAACAAGCAAGCCCAGAGAGGACACCUCUGAAAGCAGGUCCCACCCCAUGACCUUUAUUUAGCCUUGUGGACAGACAUGCCUCUGAAAAUUCUCUAGAUGGGAGCUUCCCAUUCCUCUGUUUGCCUCACAGGCUGCUGAAAGGUGAGAGAUUUCUAGCCAAAGCUUUCAGACCACAGGGCCCUUGUGGUGAUAGCCCAUCCUCAUCCUCUGUCCCAAUUGUAAAUGUUAGUCACACAUACAGGGGUUGGGGAGACGAAGCCAGCCAGAGUCACUUGUCCUUUCUGUAAAUACUGUGUGUCACUAUGAGAAGGUCCCAUCAACCAGACUCUAAUGUCUCACUUGGUCUGGAUACAACAGUCCAUGCUUGACUUAUCAGACCAUGUGAGCGAGGAAGAAGGAUACAGGUAGGGCUAGCUCCCAGAAGGAUGGUGGAAAAGCAGGGCUUGGGGUUCCAGUGGCCCUGGAAGGAGGGGAUGGAAACCCCACCCACCCUAAACGUGGGGCAUUUAAGUGUGAGGACAUCAAUGAAAAAUGCAAACAGUGUAAAACGCCACCAAGCAGACAAUAAGUUUAUUCCUCAUUACGAGGUGCACGACACGCUCAGACUCCUCAUGAAAUAAUGAAGUUCAUUUUUAACGUCUGCUUCCGUGACUUCCAGAUAAUAGGCAAGUUUGCCCCGAGGCCACAUUCCCAUUAUCAAGGCAGGGCUUUUAGCUACAGAUUCGCAAAAGCAACCCAAGGGUCCUGUGUCUCCAACACCAGCGAAUCAAAGUGAGGACUUGGGGCAUCCCUCUUUGUCUGCUAGUCACAGCCUGUCAAAAGGACCCCACCCCUUCCUUCUAAAGCAUAUCCUGAGCUGGGCGUCCCAGCCUGGUGAUGGGUUUUCUUACCCAACAGCAAUCAACGGCACACGUAAGACAUAGGAACCAGAACCCCUGAGCACUACCUGGAAGCCAGGCCACGCAUAGACUGCUUCCCAUUUAUCUCAUAGGUGUCACCCUAUCUUCUGCCCCCUGGAACUUCUUCCUCCAAACACCCAUUGGCCUUUAAAGGCAUACAUUGUUGAUAACACUUGCUGGUUUAAAGAAAUUACAAAAAUUAUUCAUAUGUUUUGUGUGCGUGCGUGUGCGUGUGCGUGUGUAUGUGUGUAUGUGUGUAUGUGUGUGUGUGUGUGUGAAGAGGCCAGAAGAGGGUACAGACCCUUUAGAGCUGGAGUUACAGGGAAAUGUGAGCUGCUCCAUGUGGCUGGACUUUUGGUUCCGCAGAAGAGCAGCAAGUUCUCUUAAAGGCUGAGCCAUCUCUCCUGCCCCCGCCUGCCCAUUUAAAAUCAACAAAAACAGCCGCAAAUGAGUAGACAAACCGGAACCAUUUCCACACACUUCCUGGACCCACAAAGUAAGUAGUUUUAUUCUUUAAGGUGUUUAUUUAGAUGUAUCCAUGCUCGCUUGGGUGUGUUUAUGGGUAGGUGCCUGUGGAGGUGAGAAGUGGGCAUUUGAUCUCAUGAAACUAUAUUUAUAGGCAAUAGAGAACCUCCUAAUGUUAGCACAGCAAGCGUUCUUAACCUCCAUGUCACCCCUCGAGUCCAAGAAAAAGAGCUUUUUUGGGGGAGUAAGCAGUCUAGUUUAGAGGACUGCUCACCCCCCACCCCCCGCACACCUCAUCUCUACCUCCCUCACACCCAUGGAGGGGAUUGGCCGUGCCCUGAGACCUCCCUCACACCACCUGUGCUUAUAAACAAGGAAAUGGGGAUACAGAGAGCUCCAGUCACUACUUGAGAGAGCAGCAGCAGGACUUAGGACCUGAGCAGACUGGCAGCCCCUGUUCUUCCUCAGGAGCCCUGGAUGGCCCCUCAUGGUCCCCCACAGGACAGACCUGGGAGGGGAAACUGAGUUCUGCUUCCCAGAGUUACAGACCAAGCCCUAAAGUUUCCAUACUUGACCAGUGCCCUACACCCACUAGUAGCAGUGGCCUGGAUGAAGCACCCCUGGUCCCUACAGAGCAGAGCCCCCAAUAUUUUAGAUCCAUAGUCAAGUGGACCUGCCCUUUGCAAAACCAGAACAGGAGUGUUAGGCAGAGUGAAAAGCAUGGAGUAUGGCUAGAGACAGCAAGCCUGAAGACUCGCCAGGAGUCCUGGCUGGCUAGAGCCAAGGGUGUGGGAGGGAACGAGAUGCAGGCUUGCCUGGGUAGAGGGGAAUUUGCUUAUAGGAGUUUAAAUGGGAUUCUAGCUAGAGGAAGAACCACUGGUGUGUUUUAAGGAGAUGCCAUGAGUGGACAAUGGGUGGAGACUCAGCAGAGGUGGAAACAGACAAACUUGGCUGUAUUUGAGUAUAGGGUUGUCAAGGUUGGCUGAGCCAGCAAACGAGGAAGGCAGGGAAGAAAGAUUUGGGAGUUCCUGACAUUCUUGGCCGAUGGACAGAGAGGGGGUAUGGAAGGUGGUAUGGUUGGUAGGGGUUUGGACAGUUUGCAUUUGUCUCUUUUAGGUCUGAGGUGUCUCGUAGGCACCCAGAUGGAGACUCCCAGAAAGUGUCAGAGACCUGGGGCUGAGAUAUAAGCGGAGGACUGUAGACAGAGAAGGGACAUGAGAUGCCAUUUGCUUACAGUGGGGACAAGCCGAUUCCAACCUCGACUACAGGCAAUUGACUGCACAGUCGUGAUCGCUGUGUCACCAGUGAGGAGACUGGGUAGGGCAGGAGUCUGGCUAAGCACGGGGCCAAGUUCACUCCUGACCUAGGCAGACUGGUGAGGACCCCGCUAAGUUUCUGUCUCUGUGCUUCCUUGUUCUGGGAUGGUGACGCCUGAUGUCCCAUAUAGAGCCUGGAACCUACAGACACCCAAAAGCACUUGUGGUUUAUUUGGCAAGGCUGCCGUCCCUGGCUGCGCAGGGUCUCUCUGGAUGAUCUUCUCUGUUUCUGGGUGAGGUAGGCUCACUGUAAGCCAUGAGAGCUCUCUGUCUCACUUCUCAUCCCAGAUGGGGCCUUGCCAAGAGUCCUGGGCCCAGCCAGGAAGAAGGUAGGCUACCAGGUGAGAAAACAGGAAGUCCUCAGUUCUGACUUGGACCCCAGCAUGAGCUCAAACUGAGCCCCCCACAUUACUCCCCAAUCCUGGAGUCUCUAGCACCAAAAGAACUUCCAUGGGCCAGAGUCGCUGGGCUGAAACCAGAGGCCCAGCUGGUGUGCUGCCUAUUGUAACUUACUUUAAAAUGUCUUUCUUGGGGUUGGGGAUUUAGCUCAGUGGUAGAGCGCUUGCCUAGGAAGCGCAAGGCCCUGGGUUCGGUCCCCAGCUCCGAAAAAAAGAACCAAAAAAAAUGUCUUUCUUGGGAGAGUAUCUCUGGGAAGGUGGUAAGGAUAUUUCCUAGACAGUAAGCCAGUGAGGACAUCAUCUAAACACCUGCAUAUACCCCUGAGCCCAGAUAGUCACAAAGUUGGACACUGCGUCUCUGUUAGUGACAAGACUGGAGAAUCUGGGAUGUGGGGUGACAUCAUGUCUGAGAGACUUUGGUGGGCACAGGCUGCAGGGCCUUCUCAAUUAUCCUUCUUGGGGAGCACACAGCACACACGUGACCAGAUCUCCUAGAUGACACAGCAGUGCCUUGGAAGGACCGAGUAACAGGAGGGACAACGCUCACUGAGCAGUGAGCAGCUUCUGUAUGACAUAGGAGCCCCUUCCUUCUUCCUACACCUUUGCUCUCCCAGUCCACCCAUCUCUCCUUCCCAGCCUUGGCCACAGUGACUUCCGUCAGGGCGGCCAUGUGCUGGCACUUUCCUGAUGUUUCAAAUUCCCACCCUUCUAUUUUCUGGUUUCUAGUGGUGGCAUUGAACCCAAGGACGUGUCGCUUCGCUCUUUUUUUAAUAUAAAAACUCUUGCACGGUGCUCUCAGUGCGGCUGUCCUCAUGGUCAGGGGAAGUUUAUUAUUUGGUAAUAAUAACGCCCUGUUUAUAUUUGCCGUAAAUGUCAGGCCUGAAUAACAGACUUCAAUCUAACUCCACAGCGUCGGUAUUUAUGACCAGCUCCAAAUGUGGAGCCAAAGGUUCCCUGUGACCAUUGGCCCCUGAAAGCCCCGGAUGGAUCCCAUCCCCAUGAGGCAGGUAGCAGUGCACACUUCCCAGGUCAGGUCAGGUUCUAGGUCCCUGUCCAUUGCUCUUGCUCUGCCGUCCUCCACAGAGGCUGGGCUCAGAGCCCCAUUCAGGCUGUCCUUGACCUGCAGAAGGAAGACUUACAGGUGUGUGUGUGUGUGUAUGUGUGUGUGUGUAUGUGUGUGUGUUGUGCAUGUGUGUCUCUGUGUGUGCAUCUGUGUAUGUGUGUGUGUGCCUGUGUAUGUGUGUCUGUGUAUGUGUGUGUGUGUCUGUGUAUGUGUGUCUGUGUAUGUGUGUGUGUGUGUCUGUGUGUGUGUCUCUGUGUGUGUAUGUGUUUGUAUGUGUGUCUGUGUGUGUAUGUGUGUGUGUCUGUGUGCAUGUGUGUCUGUGUUGUGUCUGUGUAUGUGCAUCUGUGUCUGUGUGUGUACCUCUGUGUGUGCGACUCUCUCUGUGUGUGUCUGUGUAUGUGCAUCUAUGUAUGUGUGUGUGUGUUGUGCAUGUGUGUCUGUGUCUGUGUGUGUCUGUGUGUGUGUGUGUCUCUGUGUGUAUGUGUUUGUAUGUGUGUCUGUGUGCAUGCAUGUGUGUCUGUGUGCAUGUAUGUGUGUCUGUGUGCAUGUGUGUCUGUGUAUGUCUCUGUGUGCGUGCGUGUGUGUGUGUGUGUGUGUGUGUGUGUGUAGGGGCUUGCCCUCUUCUAGUAAGUGAGCCCACAGUCUGGAAAGACUGGGCCCCUUUGCAGUUUGGCUCAGGAGGUCCUGGUGUCAUGUGCCCCUCUCUGCUUUGGAGCCUGGCUUAGCACUCAGAUUCCAAAGUGACCCUGUCUGUCCUCAGUCCCCAGUGAAAGUGACUGCUCAGCUGCAGGACUCAUGUUUACAGAAGUGAACUUCCAGUGAGAUUCAUCUCCAGAGGCAAUAUAAACUUUGACCUGUGGCCCAAUCACUGGCAAGUUGUAGGUGUCUCACUACCCAGUCUCCACUAUGUCAAAGAUUCUCAAGACACUGAAGUGCCUCGGGAAAAAAAUGACCAAGGGACUACAGUAUGCACAGAAGGAGGGAGCUCCACUCUUGGGGUCCUGGAGGUCCCCACAAGCAGCUGGUGGAGUAGAGCAGCGGCCUAUUGGGAACCCUGCCAGCCUGAGCUGACCUGGGCUUGCUAAGGUAAAGCAGAUUUGUGUCUGGAUGCAGAAGAAACUCCUGAUUACCUGAGGAAGUUUAAAAAAAUAAAAAAAAGUCAUGUGUGUGUGUGUGUGUGGCUGGAGAAUUCUGGAAAAUAGAGACAUAUCUGAGAUACUCCAUAGGCUUAGCC
This is a non-coding RNA of Rattus norvegicus (Norway rat), 7515 nucleotides long. The record is from RefSeq and is a predicted model, not a curated record. NCBI's taxonomy places the organism in Eukaryota, Metazoa, Chordata, Mammalia, Rodentia, Muridae.